This 345-nucleotide unclassified non-coding RNA is filed under the name soil metagenome. RNAcentral describes it as "partial contains 5.8S ribosomal RNA, internal transcribed spacer 2, and large subunit ribosomal RNA". The stretch from base 1 to 120 matches the Rfam family "5.8S ribosomal RNA", at positions 35 to 154 of the family's 154-position model. The record is from RNAcentral.
GAUGAAGAACGCAGCGAAAUGCGAUACGUAAUGUGAAUUGCAGAAUUCAGUGAAUCAUCGAGUCUUUGAACGCACAUUGCGCCCCCUGGUAUUCCGGGGGGCAUGCCUGUCCGAGCGUCAUUGCUGCCCUCAAGCACAGCUUGUGUGUUGGGCCUCCGUCCUCCUCCCGGGGGACGGGCCCGAAAGGCAGCGGCGGCACCGCGUCCGGUCCUCGAGCGUAUGGGGCUUCGUCACCCGCUCUUGUAGGCCCGGCCGGCGCUUGCCGACACAUCAAUCUUUUUUCCAGGUUGACCUCGGAUCAGGUAGGGAUACCCGCUGAACUUAAGCAUAUCAAUAAGCGGAGGA